GAUGAACGCUGGCGGCGUGCCUAACACAUGCAAGUCGAGCGAUCUUCUUCGGAAGAGAGCGGCGGACGGGUGAGUAACGCGUGGGUAACCUGCCCUGUACACACGGAUAACAUACCGAAAGGUAUGCUAAUACGGGAUAAUACGCUUUUAUCGCAUGGCAGAAGUAUCAAAGCUCCGGCGGUACAGGAUGGACCCGCGUCUGAUUAGCUAGUUGGUAAGGUAACGGCUUACCAAGGCGACGAUCAGUAGCCGACCUGAGAGGGUGAUCGGCCACAUUGGAACUGAGACACGGUCCAAACUCCUACGGGAGGCAGCAGUGGGGAAUAUUGCACAAUGGGCGAAAGCCUGAUGCAGCAACGCCGCGUGAGCGAUGAAGGCCUUCGGGUCGUAAAGCUCUGUCCUCAAGGAAGAUAAUGACGGUACUUGAGGAGGAAGUCCCGGCUAACUACGUGCCAGCAGCCGCCGUAA
RNAcentral lists this ribosomal RNA (468 nucleotides) under uncultured bacterium. RNAcentral describes it as "partial 16S ribosomal RNA". It matches the Rfam family "Bacterial small subunit ribosomal RNA", at positions 28 to 523 of the family's 1533-position model. The record is from RNAcentral.